ACGGGUGAGUAACACGUGGGCAACCUGCCUGUAAGACUGGGAUAACUCCGGGAAACCGGGGCUAAUACCGGAUAACUCAACGAACCGCAUGGUUCGGUGUUAAAAGAUGGCUUCUGCUAUCACUUACAGAUGGGCCCGCGGCGCAUUAGCUAGUUGGUGAGGUAACGGCUCACCAAGGCAACGAUGCGUAGCCGACCUGAGAGGGUGAUCGGCCACACUGGGACUGAGACACGGCCCAGACUCCUACGGGAGGCAGCAGUAGGGAAUCAUCCGCAAUGGACGAAAGUCUGACGGUGCAACGCCGCGUGAGUGAUGAAGGUCUUCGGAUCGUAAAACUCUGUUGUUAGGGAAGAACACGUGCUGUUCGAAUAGGGCAGUGCCUUGACGGUACCUAACCAGAAAGCCACGGCUAACUACGUGCCAGCAGCCGCGGUAAUACGUAGGUGGCAAGCGUUGUCCGGAAUUAUUGGGCGUAAAGCGCGCGCAGGCGGUUUCUUAAGUCUGAUGUGAAAGCCCACAGCUCAACUGUGGAGGGUCAUUGGAAACUGGGGAACUUGAGUACAGAAGAGGAGAGCGGAAUUCCACGUGUAGCGGUGAAAUGCGUAGAUAUGUGGAGGAACACCAGUGGCGAAGGCGGCUCUCUGGUCUGUGACUGACGCUGAGGCGCGAAAGCAUGGGUAGCGAACAGGAUUAGAUACCCUGGUAGUCCAUGCCGUAAACGAUGAGUGCUAGGUGUUAGGGGGUCCAACCCUUAGUGCUGCAGUUAACGCAAUAAGCACUCCGCCUGGGGAGUACGGCCGCAAGGCUGAAACUCAAAGGAAUUGACGGGGGCCCGCACAAGCGGUGGAGCAUGUGGUUUAAUUCGACGCAACGCGAAGAACCUUACCAGGUCUUGACAUCUUCGGACCGCCCUAGAGAUAGGGUCUUCCCUUCGGGGACCGAAUGACAGGUGGUGCAUGGUUGUCGUCAGCUCGUGUCGUGAGAUGUUGGGUUAAGUCCCGCAACGAGCGCAACCCUUAACCUUAGUUGCCAGCAUUCAGUUGGGCACUCUAAGGUGACUGCCGGUGACAAACCGGAGGAAGGUGGGGAUGACGUCAAAUCAUCAUGCCCCUUAUGACCUGGGCUACACACGUGCUACAAUGG
This 1143-nucleotide ribosomal RNA is filed under the name Alkalibacillus filiformis. Its description in RNAcentral is "bacterial SSU rRNA". It matches the Rfam family "Bacterial small subunit ribosomal RNA", at positions 102 to 1233 of the family's 1533-position model. Lineage: Bacteria; Bacillati; Bacillota; Bacilli; Caryophanales; Bacillaceae. The record is from RNAcentral.